Numida meleagris (helmeted guineafowl) is the source of this 1639-nucleotide long non-coding RNA. The record is from Ensembl. NCBI's taxonomy places the organism in Eukaryota, Metazoa, Chordata, Aves, Galliformes, Numididae.
AUGGGACCAUCCACACAGUGUCUGCCUCCUCCAGUCUCUCAACACCAGUGCAGAAGCCUGCUGCAGAGCAGAGCAACCCUACGUGGCCCAGCGAAAUAUCCUUUCCACACAAGCACCUUGAUGAGCAUGAUCCUGGCUUCAGCAACUGUGCAGUUGCUGCUGCACAGGAAAAAGUUCAUCAGCAGAGAAGACUCUCUGCUUGUGCCAGACCUUACUGAAGAAAAACAGACUCAGAACUUGGGUUCCAUUUUUUUUGUUGUAAAGAGGCUGGAUCUGCAUGCAGUGAGUCUCCAUGGGACACAUCCACCCCAUGGGGAAGCUGUGACUGGCACAUUGCCCUUUUUGUCUGUACAUUAAACAGUGCUGACUGCAAAUCAUAGAAUCAUAGGUUCACAGAAUGAAAAGGUUGAAAAGGACAUCAAAGAUCAUCUAGUUUGAAUCCCCCUGCCAUGGGCAGGGUCACCAACCACUAAACGAGGCUGCCCAGAGCCACGUCCAGCCUGACCUUGAAUGCCUGCAGGGACGGGGCAUCCACAGCCUCUCUGGGCAACCUGUUCCAGCUCAUCACCACCCUCUGAGUGAAAAAAUUCCUCCUAACAUCUAACCUAAGUCUCCUCUGUCUUAGUUUAAAGCCAUUCCCCCUUGUCCUAUCACUAUCCACCCAUGUAAACAGUCGUACACCCUCUUGUUUAUAUGCUCCCUUUAAAUAUUGGAAGGCCACAAUGAGGUCUUCCUGCAGCCUUCUCUUCUCCAAGCUAAACAAGCCCAGCUCCCUCAACCUUUCUUCAUAGAAGAGGUGCUCCAGCCCUCUGAUCAUCUUGGUGGCCCUCCUCUGGACUUGCUCUAAGAGCUCCACGUCUUUCUUGUGCUGAGGGCCCCAGGCCUGGACACAGUACUCCAGAUGGGGCCUCACAAGGGCUGAGUAGAGGGGGACAGUCACUUCCUUCUCCCUGCUGGCCACUUCUCUUUUGAUGCAGCCCAGAACACAGUUGGCCUUCCAGGCUGCAAGUGCAUACCGCUGGCUCAUGUCCGGCUUCUCAUCCACCAGGACCCCAAAGUCCUUCACAGCAUAUCAACCAUCUCAUAGAGGAUUGUCACCUAUGCAUGGUGUGGAAAUUGCCACUGGUGGCAGGGCAAUUUGAGGAGGAAAAUAAGUGUCCUAUGGAGGGGGAUGUUCACAGCCAUGUCUUCUGUGAGCCAUUGAUUUGCCCAGGGCAGCCCAACAUGGGCAGACAAUCAUGCUGAACACACACUAGUCAAAAGCUUUCACUGGGGGCACCAAGUAUUGUAGGAAGGGACCUGGUUCCCUGCUGAGCACUGGGGCAGAGGGUCUUGGGUGCAUGAUAUUGCCCAGCAGACACAUCCUUAUAUGCACAAGCCAAGACAGGGGGUGGUAGAGGAGGCAGGGGAGAAAGGAGCCAGCUGCCUCACAUAUGAAAAGAUUUACCAAGCACCCAUGGUUAUAUUGGUUAUAUAUCUCCAUGCCCUGGAGAAUAAUGCAAUUUCUAUCAUUACUGCUAGCGGGAUGGUUUGAUGGCCAGGGCUUCAUUUGAGUUGCCUAAAACAUUAACAAAGGGGAAAGUGAAAACAAACAUGAAUGUUGUAAUAAAAAUGAUGAGGAUUUUUGGGUAGGCUGCCA